CCUACGGGUGGCUGCAGUAGGGAAUCUUCCACAAUGGACGACAGUCUGAUGGAGCAACGCCGCGUGUGUGAUGAAGGGUUUCGGCUCGUAAAACACUGUUGUAAGAGAAGAAUGACAUUGAGAGUAACUGUUCAGUGUGUGACGGUAUCUUACCAGAAAGGAACGGCUAAAUACGUGCCAGCAGCCGCGGUAAUACGUAUGUUCCAAGCGUUAUCCGGGUUUAUUGGGCGUAAAGCGAGCGCAGACGGUUGUUUAAGUCGGAAGAGAAAUCCCACAGCUUAACUGUGGAAGUGCGUUGGAAACUGGAUAACAGGAGUGCAGUAGAGGGGAGUGGAACUCCAUGUGUAGCGGUGAAAUGCGUAGAUAUAUGGAAGAACACCGGUGGCGAAGGCGGCUCUCUGGACUGUAACUGACGUGGAGGCUCGAAAGUGUGGGGAGCAAACAGGAUUAGAUACCCCUGUAGUC
RNAcentral lists this ribosomal RNA (465 nucleotides) under uncultured Weissella sp. RNAcentral's name for it is "bacterial SSU rRNA". It matches the Rfam family "Bacterial small subunit ribosomal RNA", at positions 338 to 795 of the family's 1533-position model. Lineage: Bacteria; Bacillati; Bacillota; Bacilli; Lactobacillales; Lactobacillaceae. The record is from RNAcentral.